GCCAUGCGAGUCGAGAGUCUUAGGGACUCGGCGUACCGCUCAGUAACACGUGGGUAACCUGCCCUGUGCUGGGGAAUAACCUCGGGAAACUGAGAAUAAUGCCCCAUAGUUCACUACGCCUGGAACGGUGGGUGGAUCAAAGCUCCGGCGGCACAGGAUGGGCCUGCGGCGUAUCAGGUUGUAGGGGGUGUAACGUACCCUCUAGCCUUCAACGCGUACGGGUUGUGGGAGCAAUCGCCCGGAGAUGGAUUCUGAGACACGAAUCCAGACCCUACGGGGUGCAGCAGGCGCGAAAACUUCACACUGCAGGAAACUGUGAUGAGGGAAUUCCAAGUGGCUAGACAAAGUUUAGUCUUUUUGUAACUUUUAAUCGGUUACAGAAUAAGGGGUGGGAAAGACCGGUGCCAGCCGCCGCGGUAAUACCGGCACCUCAAGUGGUCGUCGCUUUUAUCGGGCCUAAAACGUCCGUCGCCUGUUUGGUACAUUCGUGGGUAAAAUCAACCAGCUUAACUGGUUGAAUUCUGCGAGGACGGCCAGACUAGGGACCGGGAGAGGUAUGGGGUACUCUCAGGGUAGGGGUAAAAUCCUGUCAUCCUGAGGGGACCACCUGUUGCGAAGGCGCCAUACUAGAACGGAUCCGACGGUCAGGGACGAAGCCUAGGGGCACGAACCGGAUUAGAUACCCGGGUAGUCCUAGGUGUAAACGCUGUGGACUUGGUGUUGGGGAUUCUACGAGUAUCCCCAGUGCCGGAGUGAAGAUGUUAAGUCCACUGCCUGGGGAGUACGGUCGCAAGGCUGAAACUUAAAGGAAUUGGCGGGGGAGCACAGCAACGAGAGGAGCGUGCGGUUUAAUUGGAUUCAACGCCGGAAAACUCACCAGUGCCGACGGACAUAUGAAGAUCAGCGUGAUGAGCUUAUUGGAUUGUCCGAGAGGUAGUGCAUGGCCGUCGUCAGUUCGUACCGUAAGGCGUUCUGUUAAGUCAGAUAACGAACGAGACCCCUAUCGUCUAUUUGCUAAACGGAUCUCCGGAUUCGUCGCACUAUAGCGAGACCGCUGGCGUGAAGUCAGAGGAAGGUGGGGGCAACGACAGGUCAGUAUGCUCCGAAUGCACUGGGCUACACGCGCGCUACAAAGGCCAGGACAAUGGGUCUGCCACGCCGAGAGGCGGCGCUAUCCCGAAACCUGGUCGUAGUUCGGAUCGAGGGCUGUAAUUCGCCCUCGUGAAGCUGGAUUUCGUAGUAAUCGCGUCUCAAAAUGGCGCGGUGAAUAUGCCCCUGCUCCUUGCACACACCGCCCGUCAAACCAUCUUGGUUGGGGGUGGGUGAGGCUACCUUUUUUUG
RNAcentral lists this ribosomal RNA (1341 nucleotides) under uncultured archaeon. RNAcentral's name for it is "bacterial SSU rRNA". It matches the Rfam family "Archaeal small subunit ribosomal RNA". The record is from RNAcentral.